AAGAGGGAUUUGGGUGCAGAAAUGGAAGGUUAUUCUAAGAAUGGGUGUGGAAGGAAAGACAAAUGUAGUUCAUGCAGUGGAGGGCGUGUGGGAGGAAAGAAAGUGGAAGUCAGAAGGGAAGGGCGGAGAGGAAGAGCAGAAACAUCAUAAGAGGAGGAGGGGAGGGGAAGGAAGUGCCAGACAUCGCCCACAGGGCUCUGCAGCGGGCUCCUCCCCUCCCCCUGCCCCCCUCCCCCCAGCCCAUCCCAGGGUGUGCUUGCCUGCUGUCGACAGACUGACCUUCCUGGUCUUUUGUGUGCCAUUCUAAAGCCGGGUCAUUUAAGAUCUUUUCUUUCCACCAAUACUCUGAUUUUGGACAUUUGUGGGGGGGGGAAGCCAUGGUCCCUUGCAUGACACUCUACUGAGAUUAAAAUAAAUAUAUCCAUUGAAAUCACUUCUUCCCUUAAUAGUUAUUUGUGGAAUUAAAAAUUUUCAUGAUCAUUGAGGCUCUGAAUAUCAUUUUUGGCUCUUUCAGGAUAAAGUUUGCAUUUGAUGCAAAGUAACCAUGAGGCAUAUGUGUCUGUAGGUGCGGGUAAUGGGAUUUUUUUCAUCAUUACAUCUUCUGCCCUGUGCUUCUGCCGUGACAUCUUUUAGCUCUCCUGCUGUUUGGCACCCAUAGCGUGGGUCUCAGGACUUUGUUGUUGUUAGAAACGAACCACCGGUUGGCUCCUGGCUCUGUUGCUGUAAGUCCUGGACCAGAGGUGCCUGUGGCGUAAGCUGCCCACUGACUCUUCCCUCUGCUUGAACCCCAUUUAGAAACCUAAACAUUUUCUUUGACAUUUUAUAGUCGCCAAUCCUCAUUUGUCAAAAUGUGUUCCAAGGAAGUUUUGUUUGAAAGUGAAAAAAAAGUCCAUAACCUCUUCUCAGGGACCCACAAAAAGCCAAAAAUCACGUGGCCACCCUCAGCCAGCACGGGUCACUGCCCCUCCUCACCCCCCAUGGCCAUCAGAUGUGCUGGCGGUCCGUGCAAGCACCUCACAGCCCUCCACCCGCUCUGGCUGACAACUCCUGUUUUCCACACCCUGCUUCAGAUGAAGGCUCCUCCUCCCCAUGGACAGCAAGUGGCUUCUGCCCAUCUGGAGAGCCCCCGCUGCUGAAGGAUCCAGCUCAUCACUGAGACGUGAUCUGGUCCCACCUCCUUAUAAUAAUGAGGACAUCACUUCCCUGUGCAAAGGCUUCCUGCUGGUCCCUGAGUUACCAAGAUAUUCCAGCCCCUCCUUCAAGCCAUUAUCAUGAAGACCCAUUGGGUCAUAUAGUCUAGGGGGCUCAGUGAUGAUCAGCAGGUUCUAGAUUCAUAGAAGCACUAAUAUUGAAUCAUCGCUAUGCCUGUGCUCUCCAGGCUGGGCACCCCGGUUCAGGGUGGGGACGGACAGUGCUGGGCAGCCAAGAGAUACAGACUGCCAGCGAGAGAGGGAACACAAGCAGGGGGAGUGGGAGAGGAAG
This is a long non-coding RNA of Ailuropoda melanoleuca (giant panda), 1482 nucleotides long. RefSeq lists it as uncharacterized. The transcript has 3 exons. The record is from RefSeq and is a predicted model, not a curated record. NCBI's taxonomy places the organism in Eukaryota, Metazoa, Chordata, Mammalia, Carnivora, Ursidae.